UAUUAAAUAUCAAAUGUAUAGUAGUUAUUAAGAUUGAUGUGAUUUGGAAUUGGUAAAAUGUGUUUGGAAAAAAAAAUAUCAUCAGAAUAUCAAUGUGCCUAAUUAUUAUGCACUCGGUGAAAAUGCAUUUUUAACGAUUUUAUUGAUCUAUAAGCAUUUGUAAAAUAUUUUUGCCUGCAUUACAGCUUAGUCUUCAUCUGUGAGCUUAACUGUUUUACUGUUACAUCUAUGAGAUUGUGUAAAUUCAGAUAAAUGUCAUGUCACAGGAUGUCUGUCAUAGGUCAGUACCAAAUAAGUUUCAAAUUAUUUACAGAAUAAAAAAAUAUAUAUGAAUCCACCUGUAUGUAUUUUAAAAAAAAAUCUUUUUAUGUUGCAAUUAACAUAUUUCUUAACCUAAUUAUAUAAAAUGAUGUUGUCUGAGCCCUACAAAUUGUACUAGUUUUUUUUUUGUCCCUAAAACUGACAGAAAACGAUAAGGCCUAAGAGAUUUCUAAAGCUGUAAUGAUGAAAAAAUAAAAAACAUCACACAAUUACUGAUUUUUUUUUCUUUCUGGUGAUUAAAGAGAUGUUAACUCUCUCUCUCUCUCUCUCUCUCUCUCUCUCUCUCUCUCUCUCUCUCUCUCUCUCAGCCAGGCCCUCAACCAAGUUUAAAGCACAUAGUUUUGAACAGUUUUCAAUGGCCCCCACACACAAAAACACUUUUCCCUCCGAAUCAUAAAUUCCUUUUAGGUUCAUAAAAAGGUCACACACGGGGGCUGUACAGGGAGGGGUGGGGGGUCCAAACAGGUGUACAAAACAGAUGGCUUUUAUGACCCUCAUCAAGCAAACUUUUUGAGACAAGCCACACUAUACUCUCUCUCUCGGUCGUGACUCGGACUCAACCCUUUCUGAACUCGGACUUGACUCGGACAGCCCUCUCUGAAAUCGAUCUUGACUCGGACUCGAAUGAGCUGGUCUUGACUACAACACUGUUACCUACAAAAAAGUCUCUUGGUACAAAAUCCAAAACCAAACAGGAAGUAAGUUAUUAGGGCUCAAGCCCGAAGGGGCGAAGAGCCCUCUUGUUUUUCUAAGGAUUAUUCUUAUUAGGGCUCAAGCCUGGAGGGCGAAGAGCCCUAUUGUUUUCCUUAGGAUUAUUAUUUUUUUUUUUUCUUUCUUUAUUCCUCUAAUUUUUUUCCAAGGGUUUCGGGGGCUUUUGGGACCCUUAACAUGCUUAAAAAGUCUUGAAAAUUUGCACACACCUCGGAAUCUGCGGCCAUUAGGGCCGGGCAGAGACUGAUACACGGGCGUGGCACAGGGGCUCUACAGCGCCCCCUGGAAUAUUGAGGGCCAUAUAUCAUCCAUACUUGCACGUAUACAUAUGAAACUCGGUACACAUGUAGAUCUCAUCAAACCAAACAACUUUCGCACUGCAUGUCAUAAGCUCCGCCCAACAGGAAGUUGGCUAUUUAGGGUUUUGUGAAAAACACAUGCUCUGGAAUUUGAUAUACUCCUCUGAGGAACUCCACCCGUUCGCCACAAAACUCGGUGAACAUGAUCUCAAGACAUUGGGGAUGCUAAAUUGCGAAGAUAUUUUUGAUAUCUCGAACGGUUUGUCCGUGGUGAGGCGUUGAAAUUAUGGCGAGAAAUGAGAAACAGGAAAUGUCUAAUAACAUUCACAUACAUUACCUGAUUUAGAUC
Long non-coding RNA from Cyprinus carpio carpio, 1680 nucleotides. The record is from Ensembl. Lineage: Eukaryota; Metazoa; Chordata; Actinopteri; Cypriniformes; Cyprinidae.